Molecule: long non-coding RNA, 3994 nt
Organism: Oncorhynchus tshawytscha (Chinook salmon)
Lineage: Eukaryota; Metazoa; Chordata; Actinopteri; Salmoniformes; Salmonidae
Source: Ensembl
CGGCUGGUGGUGAUGGAACAGAACCUGUUCUAAAAGAGGAAACGGCUGGUGGUGAUGGAACAGAACCUUUUCUAAAAGAGGAAACGGCUGGUGGUGAUAGAACAGAACCUGUUCUGAAAGAGGAAAUGGCUAGUGGUGAUGGAACAGAACCUGUUCUAAAAGAGGAAACGGCUGGUGGUGAUGGAACAGAACCUGUUCUAAAAGAGGAAACGGCUGGUGGUGAUGGAACAGAACCUGUUCUAAAACAGGAAAUGGCUAGUGGUGAUGGAACAGAACCUGUUCUAAAAGAGGAAACGGCUGGUGGUGAUGGAACAGAACCUGUUCUAAAAGAGGAAACGGCUGGUGGUGAUGGAACAGAACCUGUUCUAAAAGAGGAAACGGCUGGUGGUGAUGGAACAGAACCUGUUCUAAAAGAGGAAAUGGCUAGUGGUGAUGGACUGAGGAGAUGCAUCUGAAAAGUUCUAAAACAGGAACUGUGUGUGUGUGUGUGUGUGUGUGUGUCGACUGAUUAUGGACAGCUGUGAGAGUCUAGGUUGGAACCCUGGAGGUAGAAACAACCCUUCUCUCUGACUCUGAACUCAACUCCCAGAAUGAGUCUAGACAGACAGACGGAGGGAACCGGCCCCAUGAUACAAGAGACUGGACUCAUGAACCACACAGACAGAUUGACAUAUGGAUAUUAUCUCCUGUUUGUAGCCACUAUCUCCAUUUCAAAGAGAUCUACUGAAGAGACUAUUACAGAGAGAGAGAGAAACCAUACAUUUCCUUUAUUUGUGACUAUUGGGCCGAGCAGAACCAAGGAUAGCAUGUGUGUUUCAGCUGCUGGUUCUGUUUCGGUUUACAGAUGCUGAAAUUGCCCAUAAGCUAUUUUUUGAAUACACAAACCUUCUCAUUAAAAAACACACACACACACACACACACACACAAACACACACACACACACAUAAUGCUCAUCAUGUAGGAAUUGGAUCCCAGGAAAGUAUUCUGCCAUCUUGACAGAUACCUGAACAAGGAACAUGUUUACUUCACCUGUGUGUUUUGUGUACCUCCUAAAGACAUAUAAAUAUCAUUUUUAAUGUGGACAUUUCAGACAUUGGACAGAAUAGCACAAAAAGAACCCUGUAAGAUGUUGACCACGUUAAGCUCAAUAUGUAUUCAUUCUAUGCUAAGUUUUCUGUUCUGCUGAUGCCUAACCGUGAGUUCAUAACACUGAACUCAGAAGUGCAUCUCGAUUUACAUGUUUUGUGUCUUUCUGUUCUUGAGAAAAGGUGUGAUGCUUUAGAAACACACUGUGAUUGUCAGUCUGUAGGAUAUGUCUAUGGUGUUGGUUUAGGUGAGUCUUUGGUUCAAUUGAAAUAUUGGUCCUUGUGUAUCUGAAGAAGCUGCAGUGUUCAGAACGACCUGCAGGGGUCUCCCUCCCACUGAGAAACACUAGAUCUGUCCUAUAGAACAGGACUGGCCAGUAUUCUAAAAGAGGGCCGGUGUGGGUGCAGGCUUUUGCCCCAGCCAAGCAGUAACACACCUGAUUCUAUAUCUGGUGGAUGUUAUCGUUGGAUGCUGAUGCAACACCACACACAUCUUUAAAUGCAGUGUUAACCUACAGCAGGGUUUCCCAGUGGUGUAGUAGGAGCUACACGGAGGUAUACACCCUAAACCCCACAGAUGUUUAAACAGAGGUGUAGGAGGUAUACGCUCUAAACCCCACAGAGGUUUAAACAGUGGUGUAGUAGGAGCUACACGGAGGUAUACGCCCUAAACCCCACAGAGGUUUAAACAGUGGUGUAGUAGGAGCUACACGAAGGUAUACACCCUAAACCCCACAGAGGUUUAAACAGAGGUGUAGGAGGUAUACACCCUAAACCCCACAGAGGUUUAAACAGAGGUGUAGGAGGUAUACACCCUAAACCCCACAGAGGUUUAAACAGUGGUGUAGGAGGUAUACACCCUAAACCCCACAGAGGUUUAAACAGUGGUGUAGUAGGAGCUACACAGAGGUAUACACCCUAAACCCCACAGAGGUUUAAACAGUGGUGUAGUAGGAGCUACACAGAGGUAUACACCCUAAACCCCACAGAGGUUUAAACAGUGGUGUAGUAGGAGCUACACAGAGGUAUACACCCUAAACCACACAGAGGUUUAAACAGAGGUGUAGGAGGUAUACACCCUAAACCCCACUGAGGUUUAAACAGUGGUGUAGUAGGAGCUACACAGAGGUAUACACCCUAAACCCCACUGAGGUUUAAACAGAGGUGUAGGAGGUAUACGCUCUAAACCCCACAGAGGUUUAAACAGUGGUGUAGUAGGAGCUACACAGAGGUAUACGCUCUAAACCCCACUGAGGUUUAAACAGUGGUGUAGUAGGAGCUACACAGAGGUAUACACCCUAAACCCCACUGAGGUUUAAACAGAGGUGUAGGAGGUAUACGCUCUAAACCCCACAGAGGUUUAAACAGUGGUGUAGUAGGAGCUACACAGAGGUAUACGCUCUAAACCCCACUGAGGUUUAAACAGUGGUGUAGUAGGAGCUACACAGAGGUAUACACCCUAAACCCCACUGAGGUUUAAACAGUGGUGUAGUAGGAGCUGCACGGAGGUACAGUGCCUUGCGAAAGUAUUCGGCCCCCUUGAACUUUGCGACCUUUUGCCACAUUUCAGGCUUCAAACAUAAAGAUAUAAAACUGUAUUUUUUUGUGAAGAAUCAACAACAAGUUGGACACAAUCAUGAAGUGGAACGAUAUUUAUUGGAUAUUUCAAACUUUUUUAACUAAUCAAAAACUGAAAAAUUGGGCGUGCAAAAUUAGUCAUUAUGUGCUGUUUUUGAAUGAACAUUUCCAAAUGCUUUCCCAAGGAAAACUUUCAAAUGGAAGCUGCCAUAUGUAACUUUGUGCAACCAAACAAGUUCACAUAGAAAUGUGAAAACGUAUUGCAGAGGUUGAGAUUGUACAAAGACUAUACAAUUACUUAUUGUUUUGUCACAAACUGAAAUUAGGUGAACUUUGAAUUUUAGCAACCAGGAAAUGGUGGAGCUAUUUCUGUAUAGUGCAUCUUUAAAUGUUGACUACAAAUUAGGCCUACAUGAUAUAAUUAUGAUUGUAUCAAUCUGGAGGGCAUUUCUUUUGAAAACUCUGCAAUCACAUGUACUCUACUGUAGGCCUACAUUGUAGAGUACAGACACUGCGAGCCACAUGGUAUUUGGCUAGUUGCUUAAUUAUUUUAAAGGGCAACUAGACCCUCCCAAAAAUAGUAUUUUAUAUUUUUCCCAGACCUAAAAAAUGGUCUCCUUGUGCGGUAUAAGCAUUGAUGUGGGCUUAACAUGCAUUUGUUGUUUUUCUAUGAAAGAUUUUUCUGGCAAAAUGAUGGUGUACUCACUUCUCCAGGCACCGCUACACCAAUGGGUUUUCCUGUAUCUGUGAGUGAUUUGAUUUGGGACCUGAAUCUCCAACAGGCUUAGGCUGUUACGCAAUGGAUCAUCAUGUCUCACUCCCAUAGGCUGCUUCACUUGUCAAUCAUGUCUCUGCUAUCUUGCCCUGUAAUCUGUGAUAUCUCUCUCUCAAACACUCCUCUGUCUCUCAUCGUCAACUCUUUAUUUAAGAUAUUAAGCAAGCUCUACUUCUCUUAUCCUACAGUAUCUUCACCUGUCUGACAAAUCAAGCAAAUGAGAAAAUAAAACAAUCUGAAGAGAACCACACAGGGUUGAAUUGAUGAAAGCUGAAGUCAUUUAGUAAUUUAACUUGUUGACUUAUUGUAAUGAAUUGUAACAUUAUUUUAAAUGAAAUGAUUUAUUAAUGCAAAACAUUGAUGUCUUCUCGCCUUUGGUGUCUCCAACUCUAAUCUCAAUUACCCAGUUUCUAGUGCCCAAGAAUGGAAAGUGUGUGUGGGGGGGCACUUGACACCAGACUGUGUUUGUGUUUGUCCAUCGAUUAUUUCAUUGAUAAACACCCUGGUAGAUAUCAGGUGAUGAAGAGAUAAUAAUGUUGUUCCACUGAAGCCAAAU